This is a long non-coding RNA of Vulpes vulpes (red fox), 2415 nucleotides long. The record is from Ensembl. NCBI's taxonomy places the organism in Eukaryota, Metazoa, Chordata, Mammalia, Carnivora, Canidae.
UCAGGCUGAAUUCGUAGAUUUUCAGGAUGAUUUGAAAGUUAUCUAGGUAAUUUGGUGGGGACGGUUUUGGGGACCNCGCCCUGGCCUCAGCCCGGCUCCUCGCGGGGCCCCUCCCCCUUGGAGGCCUUUUAUGUUUAUUUCUUUUUCCCCGUCUUCCUUCCUUGAUAGAAGCGCGAACUCUCCUCACUGUAGCAUUCCAGCUGGUCUCUCUUUCAAUCUCAGGCUGAAUUCGUAGAUUUUCAGGAUGAUUUGAAAGUUAUCUAGGUAAUUUGGUGGGGACGGUUGAUUUGGGGACCCUGCUCUUCAGUCAUCUUGCCCCUCCUCCCUUUGUGUUUUUAAAUAAAAACUGUGUGCACACACACGUGUGUGAUGAACUACAGCUUAUGUUUGCUUGUGAACCCCUCAGACCUGCCUAUUCUAGAGUAAGUGCAAUUAACAUUUACUGUUGGUCCUUCCCCACUUUGCUCUCCUAUUUACCAGUCAUAUCCAACUGUUAGCAUGGCUAUGCUCGCUCCAACCUCUCAGAUGGCAGUAAUCAUGACAAGUGCUUACAUAGGACAUAUUUUGUGACAAACAUUCCUCUACAUGACAUAUAUAUUUCGCUUAAUCCUCACAACCAUCAUAUGAAACGGAUACUAUUAUCAUCUCUACUUUACAGAUGGAAAAUAAGAAAGCACAGAGAAGUCCGGAAACUUGCCCAAAGUCAUGCACCCAGCAGAUGGCAGACGUAGGACUUGAACCCUGAGGUCUGAGCCUGUUCUACAUAAUUACUAUCCUGGCCCUGUCACCAGCUCAUUCUCUUUAGCUGUGACCAAUAGUUUUUAAAUUUGAUUAUUUGAACUUAUUUUCAUUUUCAAAAAUUCCUUGACAACUCAAAUCCCAAUCUUCUGAAAAGAUUUUCUCAAUCAAAUAAAUGUAUACAGUACAAAGCAGGGGUGCCUGAGUGGCUCAUUUGGUGAAGCAUCUACCUUCAGCUAGAUCAUGAUCUCAGGUCCUGGGGUCGAGCCCAAUGUCGGUCUCCAGUUCAGCGGGGAGUCUGCUGCUCCCUUUGCCCCUCGCACUGUUUGUAUUCUCUCUCUCUCUCUCUCUCCCCCCCGCCCCCGCACAUAUAUAUGUAUAUCAGGGGCUCCGACGCGGUUGCACCCGCGGCUCCUCAAGCCUCAGGCCACAGUCUCCGCCCCGCGGGCCCCACACUCACGUCACUCCGGUGGAGGUCGUGGACCUGGGCCUGGACGAAGGGCGGCUGCGCGGGACCCAGGGUGUGCGUGCGCGUCCGCGUCCCCGGCCGCCUUGCGGUGCAGCGCGAAUCCCGGCGGGCGCGGCCGUCAGCAGCGGGAAGCGGCCUCCCCAGGGCNNNNNNNNNNNNNNNNNNNNNNNNNNNNNNNNNNNNNNNNNNNNNNNNNNNNNNNNNNNNNNNNNNUCUCCCCCCUCGCGGCCCCACACGGGCCCGUCGCUCCCCACCGCGCGCCAGGGCGGCCCCGGCCCCCUGCAUCUCCCGGCGGGCCUUGCGGCGGGGCCUCCGAGGCCACCUGUGCCCCGGAAGGCGGCGCGGACGCGCCCGGAAGCCGGAAACCCGCGUCGGACCCGGAGCCGCGUGCGCGGUGGGCGGCGAACGCAGAAGCUUCUGGAAGGCGCCAGCGGAGGCGCAGAGGCUCUCCAGGGAGGCCCCACUACCCCCGACGGGUCGGCCGGAGCCGGCGCGGGACACGCAGUCGUCACCUGAGGCAACCUGUACAAGGAAGCUUGGGAUAGAGUGAAGGCCACCAGCUACAUCCUGCCUACCAGUACCAUGUCCCUGACGCAUGCUAAGAACCAGAAGCAUCUGGCUAGAAAUGUAAGUCAAGUGCAAGUGUGAUGGCCUCUCACCCACCCUCUACCUUCCCCAGUUCCCCGCUCCUAGAAUUUUUCUACUGAUUCAUGUGUUUUAUAUAUUAUAUGUUGGUGUAUAUUGUAAAAGAAAAUCUAAAAUUACAACGACCUAUCUGGAUAUCGUAUUAAGGUUUAUGAACUUCAACCCGUUAUGCCCAGAAUGUUCUUAAGUAAAGCCUUUUAUUGUAAAAUUACCUAUAACCUUUGUUGCAGUCCUAAGAAGCUAGUUCUCUUUCAGAAGUUAAACUCCUUUAGAGACUUUUACCUCUUAAUUGUGAACCUUUUACAUAGCAUUUUAGGUGAGUAUUUCUCAAACCCUGAAUUUUACCAGUAAGAAUUUUGUUUCAAGUACACACAAACACACACACACGCGCGCACACACACACACACACAGCUGACGUUUAUGUGACUUCCUUCUGACAUAUGACAGAAGACAAUGUACUGCCAAACUAAAGGCAACACACUCUGAUCGUUUCAAUUCUAUUCCAUUAGUUUAAAUGCUAGUGGUCCAAUAAAUUGAUUUCAGUGCCUUCUGGCCUAGAGAUA